AAAACUCAAAUGAAUUGACGGGGGCCCGCACAAGCGGUGGAGCAUGUGGUUUAAUUCGAUGCAACGCGAAGAACCUUACCUGGUCUUGACAUCCACAGAACCUUGUAGAGAUACGAGGGUGCCUUCGGGAACUGUGAGACAGGUGCUGCAUGGCUGUCGUCAGCUCGUGUUGUGAAAUGUUGGGUUAAGUCCCGCAACGAGCGCAACCCUUAUCCUUUGUUGCCAGCGG
Molecule: ribosomal RNA, 229 nt
Filed under: Escherichia coli
Lineage: Bacteria; Pseudomonadati; Pseudomonadota; Gammaproteobacteria; Enterobacterales; Enterobacteriaceae
Description: partial 16S ribosomal RNA
Rfam family: Bacterial small subunit ribosomal RNA
Source: RNAcentral